Molecule: ribosomal RNA, 253 nt
Filed under: uncultured bacterium
Lineage: Bacteria
Description: partial 16S ribosomal RNA
Rfam family: Bacterial small subunit ribosomal RNA
Source: RNAcentral
UACAGGGGGGGCAAGCGUUGUUCGGAAUUACUGGGCGUAAAGGGCCAGUAGGCGGCCAACUAAGUCCGACGUGAAAUCCCCAAGCUUAACUUGGGAACUGCGUCGGAUACUGGAUGGCUUGAAUUCGGGAGAGGGAUGCAGAAUUCCAGGCGUAGCGGUGAAAUGCGUAGAGAUCAUGAGGAAGACCAGUGGCGAAGGCGGGUCUCUGGACAGUUCCUGACACUGAGGCACGAAGGCCAGGGGAGCAAACGGG